AAAGUGAGAACUGCUUAAUAUAAAACCCUCAACAGGAAAGCAGAGCUUAAAGCAGACUUAAGGGCAGCAAUAGAUGAUGAGUAGUUUUACACAGGAGUGAUCUGCAUUCGUGACGGGUUGGAUGAUGUGGAGCAGAGCAAGCCAGGACAGCUCAUGUGCUGUGGAAAACUGAACUGGGUUAUGUGGAAUGGCACUGGAUGGUACUGAGCUGAGGAGGGGGAUAAUUCAGUCCUUUAAGUGAUGUUUCAGCAUGUUAUUGCCAC
This 263-nucleotide long non-coding RNA is filed under the name Numida meleagris (helmeted guineafowl). RNAcentral's name for it is "lncRNA (ENSNMEG00000007511.1)". The record is from RNAcentral. Lineage: Eukaryota; Metazoa; Chordata; Aves; Galliformes; Numididae.